ACGGAAGGCAGCAGUGGGGAAUGUUGGGCAAUGGGCGAAAGCCUGACCCAGCAACGCCGCGUGAAGGAAGAAGGUCUUCGGAUUGUAAACUUCUUUUAUGAGGGACGAAGGAAGUGACGGUACCUCAUGAAUAAGCCACGGCUAACUACGUGCCAGCAGCCGCGGUAAUAAGUAGGUGGCAAGCGUUAUCCGGAUUUACUGGGUGUAAAGGGCGCGUAGGCGGGGAUGCAAGUCAGAUGUGAAAUCUAUGGGCUUAACUCAUAAACUGCAUUUGAAACUGUGUCUCUUGAGUGCUGGAGAGGUAGAUGGAAUUCCUUGUGUAGCGGUGAAAUGCGUAGAUAUAAGGAAGAACACCAGUGGCGAAGGCGAUCUACUGGACAGUAACUGACGCUGAGGCGCGAGAGCGUGGGGAGCAAACAGGAUUAGAUACCCUGGUA
RNAcentral lists this ribosomal RNA (437 nucleotides) under uncultured Oscillospiraceae bacterium. Its description in RNAcentral is "partial 16S ribosomal RNA". It matches the Rfam family "Bacterial small subunit ribosomal RNA", at positions 341 to 792 of the family's 1533-position model. The record is from RNAcentral. Lineage: Bacteria; Bacillati; Bacillota; Clostridia; Eubacteriales; Oscillospiraceae.